This 253-nucleotide ribosomal RNA is filed under the name uncultured bacterium. RNAcentral's name for it is "partial 16S ribosomal RNA". It matches the Rfam family "Bacterial small subunit ribosomal RNA", at positions 524 to 776 of the family's 1533-position model. The record is from RNAcentral.
UACGGAGGGUGCAAACGUUGCUCGGAAUUAUUGGGCGUAAAGCGCACGUAGGCGGUCCGCUAAGUCGGGUGUGAAAUCCCUCGGCUUAACCAAGGAAGUGCAUUCGAAACUGGCGGGCUCGAGUACUGAAGAGGGUCGCGGAAUUCCCGGUGUAGAGGUGAAAUGCGUAGAUAUCGGGAGGAACACCAGUGGCGAAGGCGGCUUCCUGGCCUGUUCUUGACGCUGAGGCGCGAAAGCUAGGGGAGCAAACGGG